UUCCCGAGUAGAAGCGGUCAGCGCCGGCCCCGUGCCAGCGUAGGACAUUGCUCUUGCG
This is a regulatory RNA element of Pseudomonas sp. M47T1, 58 nucleotides long. It matches the Rfam family "Xanthine riboswitch aptamer (NMT1 RNA)". Rfam says of the family: Later it was reported as a ncRNA that recognised Xanthine. The record is from Rfam. Lineage: Bacteria; Pseudomonadati; Pseudomonadota; Gammaproteobacteria; Pseudomonadales; Pseudomonadaceae.